AGAGGAAGAGGAGGCUGCAGUUACCCCUGGACCAUAUGCUUUCACUACUGCUCCGAGCAGCCAUGUUGGAUUUUGAUGACCACUGACAUCUCGGUCACCAAGCAACUGGGUCUUGUUUUGAGGACUAACCCCAAGUGAAGGAGUUCAAG
This is a long non-coding RNA of Perca flavescens (yellow perch), 149 nucleotides long. RefSeq lists it as uncharacterized. The transcript is spliced from 3 exons. Lineage: Eukaryota; Metazoa; Chordata; Actinopteri; Perciformes; Percidae. The record is from RefSeq and is a predicted model, not a curated record.